Molecule: long non-coding RNA, 414 nt
Filed under: Oryza brachyantha (malo sina)
Lineage: Eukaryota; Viridiplantae; Streptophyta; Magnoliopsida; Poales; Poaceae
Description: long non-coding RNA (OBRA_LNC003269)
Source: RNAcentral
CCUCAGGAAAAUUUCUACUGCUGGCUUGUAGAUCUUACCUUGUAUCAUACGCUCAUACAACACUGUGGUUGCUAAGAUGCCUCGUAUCUAAUUCAGAGAUGGAUCAUAGCUGCUAGAUGUUUUAACUAGCACCUUCAUUCAUUCGCAAUGGAUAAUGUGCGCAUGCGCCAUCUUAUAUCUUCUAUCUUAAUUAAGUAAAUGAGAAAAUAUCAUCCCAUUCUUGCAAACUUAUUCAUUCUCUUCCUCCAUUUCACAAUCUUUUAGCCUCAUAUCUUUCCUACUUAUGCUUUGCAUAUGUUUUGUAUAGGCGUCUAGAUUUAUUAGCACGUAUAUGAAUUUAAGCAAGUCCAAAAAGUCUUAUAACGUGGAACGGAGAAAAUAUAUAGUAAUAAUGUAUAUGAUUCCAAAGAAUCU